Molecule: ribosomal RNA, 448 nt
Filed under: uncultured bacterium
Lineage: Bacteria
Description: partial 16S ribosomal RNA
Rfam family: Bacterial small subunit ribosomal RNA
Source: RNAcentral
GAUGAACGCUGGCGGCGUGCUUAACACAUGCAAGUCGAACGAACCUUCGGGUUAGUGGCGGACGGGUGAGUAACGCGUGGGAAUCUGCCCUCAGGAGGGGGAUAACGGCUGGAAACGGCCGCUAAUACCCCAUAUGCCGCGAGGUGAAAUGAAUUUCGCCUGAGGAUGAGCCCGCGUCUGAUUAGCUAGUUGGUGGGGUAAAGGCCUACCAAGGCGACGAUCAGUAGCUGGUCUGAGAGGAUGAUCAGCCACACUGGGACUGAGACACGGCCCAGACUCCUACGGGAGGCAGCAGUGGGGAAUUUUCCGCAAUGGGCGAAAGCCUGACGGAGCAACGCCGCGUGAGGGAUGAAGGCCUCUGGGCUGUAAACCUCUUUUCUCAAGGAAGAAGACCUGACGGUACUUGAGGAAUAAGCCACGGCUAAUUCCGUGCCAGCCGCCGCUGUAA